UCUACAAAUCUACCCCUCUUCGUGAUCGUGAGAGAAAAUGGGGAGACGAAGUUGUUGGGGAAAGAGAUGAAAAUUAAAGAGGAGAGAGAAGGAGAGAGAGAGAGGAGAGAGAAGGAGUUGUGAGGCCGGAGGAGGGUGGUGAGAGUGGCCGACACUCUCUGAAAACGCGUACUGUACACCGCGUUCGUACAUAUGGGGGCUUAAGCUUUAGGUCGUUCAUGAUAUGGGUUUCUGGAGAUUUCCUGCAAAUUUGAGGCUCCUGCAAUUUGAAACCUUGUAAAGUGAACAAGGAUUGAUCAGAAGUAAGCAACCCUUUUCCUUGCUGAAGGUUCUUGCAGUAAAUGUUAUCAAAUUUAUGUGGCAUGGUUGGUCCAGAGCAAUUGCAGUUAUUGGGUCUAUGUUUUCUGGCUCUGAUUUUAGGGACUCUUGCAUAGUUGGAUCAGUUCUGUUAUUGCUUUUGAAAUUGUAGAAACAAGCCAGCAAAGAGCUUAGUUUUUUUAGGAUUGUUACUGUGAGUGGCUGCGAGUGAAAUCUGAGACUUUCUCACUUGGGGAUAUGCAGUUCAUCAAGGUGUGGAUUCUAGUUUUCAAAUUCUUGCCACAUCAGAAACAAAUCUACCGUGGGAACUUAAUUUGAGGUUCCGGACGGCUUCCCAUCAUUUUCUUUACCUCUUCAGUAUUUGAGCUUUCACCUCUUCCUAAACCUUGGAUGUUGCAUUCCAUUCCGAGUUUGUAUCCAGACUGGACAGUGUGAUUGCCAUGCUUCUGAAAGAACCACUAGAAUUGGUCAUCGUGCCUUCCACCACGGGGCAUCACCCACCGGAAUCCCAAGGUUCAGGUCAGCGUCAUCGGUUUAUUAGAAAGGGUUAUGAAUCAACGGCUCAUUCUAAUCUCCAACAGAAAGCUUGCAUGAUCACAGUAGCUUGAGGUUGACGUUGAAGUUUCUAGGGGCAUUUGUCUUCAUAAAAUACUUUAUACUUUUGUGUUGCAGUAACCAUUAUUGCACAUUGCUAUAUAGAGAAGAGAGAUCUUCUCUGUGAACAAGUGCUUCUGUUUAUGUGUUUAUUGUGCACUCAAUAAAUUAGGACUGUAACUUUCAGCCAAUUUUUUUA
Rosa rugosa (rugosa rose) is the source of this 1111-nucleotide long non-coding RNA. RefSeq lists it as uncharacterized. The record is from RefSeq and is a predicted model, not a curated record. The transcript is spliced from 2 exons. NCBI's taxonomy places the organism in Eukaryota, Viridiplantae, Streptophyta, Magnoliopsida, Rosales, Rosaceae.